RNAcentral lists this ribosomal RNA (389 nucleotides) under Choanoflagellata sp. RNAcentral's name for it is "partial small subunit ribosomal RNA". It matches the Rfam family "Eukaryotic small subunit ribosomal RNA", at positions 582 to 975 of the family's 1831-position model. The record is from RNAcentral. Lineage: Eukaryota; Choanoflagellata.
AUUCCAGCUCCAAUAGCGUAUAUUAAAGUUGUUGCAGUUAAAAAGCUCGUAGUUGGAUUUCUGUUCUCGAGGAUCGGUCCGCCUCACGGUGAGCACUGGUUUUUCUUGGGGACAUCCUCUCGAAGGCGGGUGGUGCACUUAAUUGUGUGCUGCUUGGAUUCGGGACCUUUACUUUGAAAAAAUUAGAGUGUUCAAAGCAGGCGUCGGCUUGAAUACAUUAGCAUGGAAUAAUGGAAUAGGACUUUGGUUCUAUUUUGUUGGUUUCUAGGACCGAAGUAAUGAUUAAUAGGGAAAGUUGGGGGUGCUAGUAUUGGCCGGCCAGAGGUGAAAUUCUUGGAUUCGGUCAAGGCUAACUUAUGCGAAAGCAUUCACCAAGGAUGUCUUCAUUA